UAUAAGCUCAGAAGAUCUGCCUUUGAAUUCA
RNAcentral lists this non-coding RNA (31 nucleotides) under Mus musculus (house mouse). Lineage: Eukaryota; Metazoa; Chordata; Mammalia; Rodentia; Muridae. The record is from RNAcentral.